AGCCUUAUUAUUAUUAUGCAGAAGUACAGGUAUUACAAAGAAAAAAGAAGGUUAGAGACUCAAAUUCAACAAACAUUACGAACGUUUCGUAACAUAUACCGAAUUCCAGUCCAAAUAGAUUCGAUUUUAAGUUCAGACAUUAUCUAGCUGUAAAUUCAAUUGACACCGAUAAAAACCAGAAUAAUUAGUUUAUAAAAACUACUGUCACGACCCAAUCUCAGAUCAUGACCGGCGCACAGGUUAACACUAACUCAUCAUAUAUCCAGCCGGUGCAAGCCUAAUACACUAGCUAUAACCUAUACACUAUAACAAAUAUACUUAUUUAAAAUGUAGAGUUACUGAAAUUAUAGCUCGACAGGGAGGAUCCCUGGUCCUACGUAUCCCUAAACGAUUAGGGAAUCAGAGCCACGUAGUUCUCUAAGUGUUGGUUAACUAUCAACAAAGUAUACAUAAAAACUAUCUCAUCAACCUAGAAUCUACAUUACCACUUCACACAUAAUCCCCUGUUCUUCAUAUUUUAUUACAACCGGUGGAAGACCAAAUAAUCCUAUCAUUCUACUACUGAAAAGACUUGAGCAAUUCUUGUAAACAUUGAUCCUUACUUUUCAAAUAUAAGAAUUUUCCUACUACUUAUGAGAAAUGAGAAUCACAGUGAAAAUUUCUAUUUCUCAUACAUAAUUAAAAUAUUACUCUUAAAUCUAAUUCUACUUCUACUAAAAGAUUCNNNNNNNNNNNNNNNNNNNNNNNNNNNNNNNNNNNNNNNCACAAAACAAGAAAUUGAUGGAAAAAGAGAGAAUUUUGAACUUCUUCAAUUUUCCACAAACUUCCUUAAACCUUGCUCCUCGCUUUAUUCUGGUAAAAUUUCAGUCUCCUUCAAGUCCAAUAAAGUGAAUAUAAGUAAGAACUUGGCAUGAAAUAGGGUCGAGAUGCUAGAAAUGGAAGAGGAAAAAUUUUGGCCAUAAGAUUGUGUGUUGUUCUUUGUUCGGCGAUGCCAUUUACGUGUGUAUGUUUCUAGAGGGAAAGCUUUGUUUUAUCCUUAGCGUUUAUAGUUUAUUUAUUUAUUUAUAUAUAUUCUUCUCCAA
RNAcentral lists this long non-coding RNA (1082 nucleotides) under Trifolium pratense (red clover). RNAcentral's name for it is "long non-coding RNA (TPRA_LNC011944)". Lineage: Eukaryota; Viridiplantae; Streptophyta; Magnoliopsida; Fabales; Fabaceae. The record is from RNAcentral.